This 467-nucleotide ribosomal RNA is filed under the name uncultured bacterium. Its description in RNAcentral is "partial 16S ribosomal RNA". It matches the Rfam family "Bacterial small subunit ribosomal RNA", at positions 29 to 507 of the family's 1533-position model. The record is from RNAcentral.
ACGAACGCUGGCGGCGUGCUUAACACAUGCAAGUCGAACGGAAAGGCCCUGCUUUUGUGGGGUGCUCGAGUGGCGAACGGGUGAGUAACACUUGAGUAACCUGCCCUUGACUUUGGGAUAACUUCAAGAAACUGGGUCUAAUACCUGAUAUGAUCUCCUGCUGCAUGGUGGGGGUUGGAAAGUUUCGGCGGUUGGGGAUGGACUCGCGGCUUAUCAGCUUGUUGGUGGGGUAGUGGCUUACCAAGGCUUUGACGGGUAGCCGGCCUGAGAGGGUGACAGGCCAAAAUGGGACUAAGAUACGGCCCAGACUCAUACGGGAGGCAGCAGGGGGGAAUAUGGAAAAAUGGGCGGAAGCCUGAUGCAGCAACGCCGCGUGCGGGAUGACGGCCUUCGGGUUGUAAACCGCUGUCGCCUGUGACGAAGCGUGAGUGACGGUAAUGGGUAAAGAAGCACCGGCUAACUACGUG